RNAcentral lists this long non-coding RNA (1463 nucleotides) under Helianthus annuus (common sunflower). Lineage: Eukaryota; Viridiplantae; Streptophyta; Magnoliopsida; Asterales; Asteraceae. The record is from RNAcentral.
AAAGAUAUCUAAAUCUGCCAAACACACAAAUGCAAUAGUCAUACACAAAUAUCCCCCAUCACUUUCCUCUUUACGAUUCAAAUACACAGAAACCCUAAAUUUUGAGCAUUAACCUUGAUAAACAGUCGCAACAAUCAACCCCCUCCCCCUGCUCUAUACCUUGAUAAACAAUCGGCGGAAUGGUGGUCAUGGUCGGAUGCUGCCGGUGGUGGAGCGGAGGAGAUUGAUGGCGAUAACUGUGGCGGCCUUUGAAGAGAUUAGAGGUGGUGAUCCGAUGGGCGUGUGUGAAGGUGUUUGCUGGCGGCUGUUGGUGGUGUACGGAUACCUAAGUAACACAAGAGGUUCCGGUUUCAGAACUUGUUUUCUACCAUCGCACACCAGCCUCAAUGCUCGAGCCGUCGUCCCUUGAACCAACGUCUGAUGUCGUUUUUACAGACUUUUCUGUGAUUAAGUUCGGAAUGUAAGUAAAAGAGUGAGAGGACCAACGCGUAUGAAAUAAAGAAAAGUCUAAGUGUAAAAAACAAGGCGAAUCGGGCAAAGAAGAAGAUGGUUCAAGUAAGGGGUAAAAAAAAGUUAUGCUCGAGUCCGUGAAGAGCUAAAGGGACAAGAUCCAAGUCGAUUGGAAAUCUUUCGUGCAUGUUUCUCCAAAGAUGGAACUACCAAAAAUUUGGAAGCUUCAAAUGCAAUUGCACAGAUGCAACAACUUAGUUCUAAUCUUCCCGAGGGCUCGAUCGAGAAGCCUGGACCAGAUGAUGUUUUUUUCUAAAGUAAUGGGUAGCGAUCGAAAUGGUGAUGAGGUUAUGUAUGGCCUGGGUGUUCGUGUUGCUGAUGUUUGGGGUGUAAUACCAAGUUGUUCGGCAUGUCAUAGAGAAAACAUCCAAUUGAAGUCUCAAUGUGAAGAACUUACUAGUACUGUGGUCCAGUUACAAGCCCAAGUAUCAGAGAUGGAAGGGUCGAGGGGUAGUUCCAGUGUUCAACCUCUUACAUCACAACAUUUCCCCAAUGUAACCAAUGGACAUCAACGUUUACGGGUCGGAGAUAAAGUUUUCCUCAAAAGCAUUCUAAACUCUACCGAGACUAUAGCAAGCGGAAGGGUCCAGAGCUUGGACCCAAAUGAUCUAGUUGGUGGUACAGAGAUUGGACCAGAAUGGUGUGAGGUAAACGUUCAAGUACCAAUAAAAAAAGAUGAAAACUUGGUAAGACCAUAUGGUUUAUUUUCUACAAUUCAAGAUUGUAUUGGUGCAUCCAUCGCAUGGCUUUAUCCAUUCAUCUUGGUAGUCCAUGAGGAUUGAGGACGCAUGAUGACUCAAGAUUUCUAUGCUUCUUAUUUCUUUAAUUGCUUUUAAUUUCUUUGUUAGAUGUUAAGACUUUAUGUUAGAUAUUGUUAUAACUUAUUUAUGAUUAGUGUUUUUGUUAUGAACAUGAUUAUUUGAAAUAUAAUGAUUCUUUCAUUAGUUGAUGUU